CCUACGGGCGGCAGCAGUGGGGAAUAUUGCACAAUGGGCGCAAGCCUGAUGCAGCCAUGCCGCGUGUGUGAAGAAGGCCUUCGGGUUGUAAAGCACUUUCAGCGGGGAGGAAGGCGUUAAGGUUAAUAACCUUGUCGAUUGACGUUACCCGCAGAAGAAGCACCGGCUAACUCCGUGCCAGCAGCCGCGGUAAUACGGAGGGUGCAAGCGUUAAUCGGAAUUACUGGGCGUAAAGCGCACGCAGGCGGUCUGUCAAGUCGGAUGUGAAAUCCCCGGGCUCAACCUGGGAACUGCAUUCGGAACUGGCAGGCUAGAGUCUUGUAGAGGGGGGUAGAAUUCCAGGUGUAGCGGUGAAAUGCGUAGAGAUCUGGAGGAAUACCGGUGGCGAAGGCGGCCCCCUGGACAAAGACUGACGCUCAGGUGCGAAAGCGUGGGGAGCAAACAGGAUUAGAUACCCGAGUAGUC
Molecule: ribosomal RNA, 465 nt
Filed under: uncultured Klebsiella sp.
Lineage: Bacteria; Pseudomonadati; Pseudomonadota; Gammaproteobacteria; Enterobacterales; Enterobacteriaceae
Description: bacterial SSU rRNA
Rfam family: Bacterial small subunit ribosomal RNA
Source: RNAcentral